AGAGUUUGAUCCUGGCUCAGAGUGAACGCUGGCGGCGUGCCUAAUACAUGCAAGUCGAACGAUGAAGCUUCUAGCUUGCUAGAGUGCUGAUUAGUGGCGCACGGGUGAGUAACGCAUAGGUCAUGUGCCUCUUAGUUUGGGAUAGCCAUUGGAAACGAUGAUUAAUACCAGAUACUCCCUACGGGGGAAAGAUUUAUCGCUAAGAGAUCAGCCUAUGUCCUAUCAGCUUGUUGGUAAGGUAAUGGCUUACCAAGGCUAUGACGGGUAUCCGGCCUGAGAGGGUGAACGGACACACUGGAACUGAGACACGGUCCAGACUCCUACGGGAGGCAGCAGUAGGGAAUAUUGCUCAAUGGGGGAAACCCUGAAGCAGCAACGCCGCGUGGAGGAUGAAGGUUUUAGGAUUGUAAACUCCUUUUGUUAGAGAAGAUAAUGACGGUAUCUAACGAAUAAGCACCGGCUAACUCCGUGCCAGCAGCCGCGGUAAUACGGAGGGUGCAAGCGUUACUCGGAAUCACUGGGCGUAAAGAGCGCGUAGGCGGGAUAGUCAGUCAGGUGUGAAAUCCUAUGGCUUAACCAUAGAACUGCAUUUGAAACUACUAUUCUAGAGUGUGGGAGAGGUAGGUGGAAUUCUUGGUGUAGGGGUAAAAUCCGUAGAGAUCAAGAGGAAUACUCAUUGCGAAGGCGACCUGCUAGAACAUUACUGACGCUGAUUGCGCGAAAGCGUGGGGAGCAAACAGGAUUAGAUACCCUGGUAGUCCACGCCCUAAACGAUGGAUGCUAGUUGUUGGAGGGCUUAGUCUCUCCAGUAAUGCAGCUAACGCAUUAAGCAUCCCGCCUGGGGAGUACGGUCGCAAGAUUAAAACUCAAAGGAAUAGACGGGGACCCGCACAAGCGGUGGAGCAUGUGGUUUAAUUCGAAGAUACACGAAGAACCUUACCUAGGCUUGACAUUGAGAGAAUCCGCUAGAAAUAGUGGAGUGUCUAGCUUGCUAGACCUUGAAAACAGGUGCUGCACGGCUGUCGUCAGCUCGUGUCGUGAGAUGUUGGGUUAAGUCCCGCAACGAGCGCAACCCCCUUUCUUAGUUGCUAACAGGUCAUGCUGAGAACUCUAAGGAUACUGCCUCCGUAAGGAGGAGGAAGGUGGGGACGACGUCAAGUCAUCAUGGCCCUUACGCCUAGGGCUACACACGUGCUACAAUGGGGUGCACAAAGAGAAGCAAUACUGCGAAGUGGAGCCAAUCUUCAAAACGCCUCUCAGUUCGGAUUGUAGGCUGCAACUCGCCUGCAUGAAGCUGGAAUCGCUAGUAAUCGCAAAUCAGCCAUGUUGCGGUGAAUACGUUCCCGGGUCUUGUACUCACCGCCCGUCACACCAUGGGAGUUGUGUUUGCCUUAAGUCAGGAUGCUAAACCAGCUACUGCCCACGGCACACACAGCGACUGGGGUGAAGUCGUAACAAGGUAACCGUAGGUGAACCUGCGGUUG
Molecule: ribosomal RNA, 1484 nt
Filed under: Helicobacter pylori
Lineage: Bacteria; Pseudomonadati; Campylobacterota; Epsilonproteobacteria; Campylobacterales; Helicobacteraceae
Also listed under: 2 other names
Description: bacterial SSU rRNA
Rfam family: Bacterial small subunit ribosomal RNA
Source: RNAcentral